GGGGAUUUAGCUCAGUGGUAGAGCGCUUGCCUAGCAAGCGUAAGGUCCUGGGUUCGGUCCCCAGCUCCG
Molecule: transfer RNA, 69 nt
Filed under: Rattus norvegicus (Norway rat)
Lineage: Eukaryota; Metazoa; Chordata; Mammalia; Rodentia; Muridae
Rfam family: tRNA
About the family: Transfer RNA (tRNA) molecules are approximately 80 nucleotides in length. Their secondary structure includes four short double-helical elements and three loops (D, anti-codon, and T loops). Further hydrogen bonds mediate the characteristic L-shaped molecular structure. tRNAs have two regions of fundamental functional importance: the anti-codon, which is responsible for specific mRNA codon recognition, and the 3' end, to which the tRNAs corresponding amino acid is attached (by aminoacyl-tRNA synthetases). tRNAs cope with the degeneracy of the genetic code in two manners: having more than one tRNA (with a specific anti-codon) for a particular amino acid; and 'wobble' base-pairing, i.e. permitting non-standard base-pairing at the 3rd anti-codon position.
Source: Rfam by way of RNAcentral